Molecule: ribosomal RNA, 253 nt
Filed under: uncultured bacterium
Lineage: Bacteria
Description: partial 16S ribosomal RNA
Rfam family: Bacterial small subunit ribosomal RNA
Source: RNAcentral
UACGGAGGGUGCAAGCGUUAUCCGGAUUCACUGGGUUUAAAGGGUGCGUAGGCGGCUUUAUAAGUCAUUGGUGAAAGCUCGCAGCUUAACUGUGAAACUGCCAUUGAAACUGUUUAGCUUGAAUCUGGUUGAAGUGGGCGGAAUACAACAUGUAGCGGUGAAAUGCUUAGAUAUGUUGUAGAACACCGAUUGCGAAGGCAGCUCACUAAACCAACAUUGACGCUGAGGCACGAAAGCGUGGGUAGCGAACAGG